UACUGCAGUGGUUUAGGUGACAACCAGCGUGGCUCGUGUGGGCCUUGUUUUUUGCCGCAUCUGCGCAAGAAAUGUUAUUGUUUUGAACGAAAAGCGAGCCGAGGGACAUGGGACGGAGUGAGUAAUGUAUUUUCUUUAAUAUUUUGGUAUGUAUGCUUUUGUUUAUGAUUAGAUGAUGUUUUGCCUAAGUUUGUUAUGUUGAAGAGCGAACAAAAACAUUCUAGUCAGAUAUUAUAGUCAGUUAUCGGUUGGUUGCGAAUGUGGCGCAGGAAUGUUGAGGAAACGAGGGUUAUAAUACCGUGUUGUGUCUUUUCAGUUUUUUACGUGGCAUUGCGGAUCUGGAUGAAUAUACUGAAUUAAAAGGAAAACUGAUGUCCUAUCCACAUGCUGCUACAGUAAAAAAUCCCCCAAUCCGAACAAAGCUAGAUGAACGUUGGGACCAAUUCCUUGAACCUGUAGGUAGUGAAAUGACCCGAACUAACAAUCUAUACACUGAGUAGAACUUUAUUUGCCUCAUAUUAUUUCAGUUCUUCCAACGACCCAUAAACCUGUACCUGUAGUGUUCACUUUUCUUUUAUUUUAUUUUUUGUUUGAAACUGCUUUGAAAUGGAUGAAAGUAAGAAGAUGGAAGGUCUGGAAGGUGAAGCGAAGGAGGGUGGUGCAGCACUGCUCGCUAGAAGGAGUGGGAGAAAGGUCACAUUAAAUCCGAAAGGUGCUGCAUACCAGUUAGAAACCAAGGAGAAGAGCUAUAAUGUUCUUCUAAAGGAAUUGAAGAAGACAGGAGCUGAACUGUUGGAAGAAGAUGUGUCCGAAAGGGUCAAGGCAGAUGAAGUUCUCCACAAAACAGUGACAAAGAAGGUGAGACAGUGGCUUCAUGGAUAUGUGACGCUCAUGCAAACAGCUAUCGAUUUGCAAGCUCUGCUUCCUGCGGACAGAAAAGAGGAGCAUCUGUCAAGACAUGCAGAAAUAGGGGUAGAGUUGAACCAGAUGAAAGAGGGUGUGGAUGCUUUGCAAAAGGAACUUGCUUUGACUGAUCAUGAAACAAAGCUUGAAGGCUCUGUGGCAGGAGCUAGUACGACAUCAAGUUCAAUGAGAGCAAACCUCAUGAUGCUGCGUCUCCAGGAUGAGAGAAAGAAGGCAGAAGUGAAGGCGCAACUGAUGGCCGUGAAGAAAAGACAAGAACUUCUGAAGGAAAGACAGGAUCUGGAGCUGAGAGAAAAGGAGCUGGAGUUACAAGUGCAGCUUGACAUUCAAAACGCACAAGAGGAUAUCAGCGAAAAGUUUGAACAAGAACUUCUGAAUGAAGAUGGGCCAGAUGAGUAUCAAAAGGACACACAAGUGAAGACACAUGUGAAAACACAAGAGAAGAACUCGGAUGGCAAUGCUCAGGCCGAAGGAAUUUUGACAGGACUGGCACAUAUCAUAUCAAAGUCACAGAACCAGCUGCCUGUUCUUGAACCUGAGGUAUUUAAGGGUGACGUUGAGCAGUUCGCAAUGUGGCUCAAGUCAUUUGAAUGUUACAUUGAGUCAAGGACUACUGAGAGCACAGAAAGACUGCACUAUCUUGCAACCUACACAGGUGGAAGUGCUAAACGUGCAAUUCAAGGACUUCUCCAGUUGAGAAGUGAGGAUGCCUACUCUAAGGCAAAGCAGAAACUGAUUGAAAGGUAUGGAAACGACUUUGUCACAGCAAAUGCCUAUAGGCAGCGGCUCCACAGCUGGCCACAUGUUCGGCCUGGAGAUGGCAAGGCCCUUCGUGAGCUGGCAGAUUUCCUGGAAGGUUGUCUGGUGGCAGCUCAGACAGUACCAGGACUCAGCAAUCUGAGGAACAUCGAUGAUAUUACCCAGCUGCUGAAAAGACUUCCACGAUAUCUUGUAGAUCGCUGGAGAAGGGUUGUUGAUGAGCACAUCUAUGAACGUGACAAGUCAGAGUACCCAGGCUUAGAAGUGUUUGUCAACUUCUUGACCAAAGAGGCUCGAGUCGCCUGUGGACCAGUAUCGCUGGAGACAGACCAAGACAAGCUGAAGAAAACAAGAGACAGAGCUGGAGCAUUCGCUUCUUCGACUGGUGCAGUAGCUGAAAGGAAGUCGGACAGGAAUUUCCGAAGAACUGAUCCCAGCUACCAAGCAACCAGCAGUAGCCAAUCAGCUCCUGACAGCUACAGGUGGAAGUGUGUCCUCUGCGUAGAGAGGCAUCCACUGGACUCAUGUGAGGUCUUCGCAAAGAUGGCCCUGCCAGAGAAACAUGUUGUGAUUCGCAAGCAUGGAGUGUGUCGUGGCUGCUUGCGUAUAGGCCACAUCUGGAAGGAGUGCAAGAGGAGAAGAGAAUGUGGAAAGUGCCACGGUGCUCACCCGACACUCCUACAUGAUGAUGAUUUCAGGUCAUCAAGAGGGACUCCCGGACGCUCGGUGUCAGUCGAAACACAAACGGCUACAACACUGAAAACUGAAAUCAGAUCACCGCCCAGCGAUGCAGAUGAUGGAACCCCAUGUUUUCAUUCAUUGAUCGUGCCUGUACUGGUCCAUCACCGGACAACACCGGAGCACAAGGAAAUGGUUUACGCCAUUCUGGAUCCACAGUCUGAUGGGACGUUCAUAACUGAGAGCGUCUGCGACAAGAUCAAAGCACCCGGAGUGGAAACCUCUCUGGAAUUGAGUACGAUUACUGGGAAAACCGAGGUGAAGGCGAAAGCAGUGACGGGACUGGUCAUCGAAGCGCUGGACUCCAGCAGUGAGAUCAGCCUCCCCACAACGUACACCCGUGAAGACAUGCCUGUAGAUCGACAACUGAUCCCAAGGCGUGAGACAGCAGCGAACUGGUCUCAUCUGAGAGAAGUAGCUGAGAGUUUGCCUCCCUACUACCCGGAGGCGGCGAUUGGUCUACUCAUUGGCUUGAACUGCAGCAAGGCCAUCAAGCCUCAGGACAUCGUGACAGGAGACGACAACGCGCCGUGGGCAGUCCGCACAGCGAUGGGCUGGGGUGUCGUUGGCCUCGCUCGCGGCAACAGAACGUGCUGUUUUGCAUCGUGCGAUGGUGCGGCGAGUAGGCAGUGUCACUUCACGCUGAGGACCCGAGCGAGGGAAGUCGGGCCGUCACAUUUGAUUGAAAUGUUGGAGACAGGGUUUCAGGACCAACCUCAAGAGAGGAAGAUCUCCCAACAAGACAAGAGAUUUGUGGACCUAAUGGAGACACAGAUGCACGCCACAGAAGAUGGUCACAUGGAAGCGCCACUUCCACUGAAGGACCCAGAGGUUGUGCUGCCAGACAAUAAGAAACUUGCAAUGCAAAGGCUGCAAGGGUUGAAGAAGAGAUUUGAAAGGGAUCCAGGAUUUCAGGCAGAAUACAACACGUUCAUGACAGAAAUGCUGGAGACCGGAAUCGCUGAGCCUGUGCCUGAAGAGGAGCUUGGUGGAGCCGGCAGCAAUGGAGUGUGGUACCUGCCGCACCAUGGGGUCCGUCACCCUCGCAAACAAAAGAUCAGGGUGGUCUUUGACUGCAGCUGUGAAUUCGAUGGACGGAGCCUAAACAGUGAGCUCAUGCAGGGACCGGACAUGGCCAAUAACCUCUGCGGCAUCUUGACUCGAUUCCGUAAGCUCCCCGUGGCUCUCACUUGUGACAUCAGAGGGAUGUUUAACCAAGUGAAAGUGAACCAAGAACAUCGAAACCUGCUACGCUUCCUCUGGUGGAAGGAUGGAAACCUGCAGGAAGAACCGACAGAGUUCAGAAUGACUACGCAUCUGUUCGGGGCAACAUCAUCCCCGUCUUGUGCGAUGUUCGCGCUGAAUAAGACAGCUGAGCUCUAUGAAGAAGAGUGUGGCCCAGAAGCUGCAGCCUUCGUGCGCCACGAUUUCUAUGUGGACGACGGAUUGAUAUCAACUCCGGACAAGACGUCGGCGUGUGAUCUGGCUGGAAGCGCAACAAUUUUGUGUUCCAAAGGUGGUUUCCAGUUGCACCAAUUCACCUCGAACGAGCCGGAUGUCAUCGCCAGCAUCCCCGAAGAAAAUCGAUCGAAGAAUCUUCAGCACAAGGACGUCGUGGACGAGUACAAACCUGUGGAACAGGCUCUUGGACUUUCGUGGAACAUUCAAGAUGACACGCUUCUUUUGACAGGAGACCUGCCCGACAAACCAGUGACUCGACGAGGGAUUUUGUCUACCGUCAGUUCCCUAUACGACCCCCUGGGGUUGGUGUGUCCCUUCACGUUGCAGGGAAAGCAGAUACUGAAGCGACUCUGUUGUGAUGGCGGUGGAUGGGAUGAGCCGGUACAUGAAGAGUGCUGGCUUGAUUGGAAAGCAGACCUGGCUACACUUUCCACUUUUGCAGUGCCCAGGUGCUACGUUCCAUCCUCAUGUCUGGUGGAGUCCUACGAGCUGCACAGCUUCUCAGACGCCAGCCUAGAGGGGCUCGGGGCCUGCAGCUAUCUGCGAAUGAAGACUACCGAUGGACAGCUCUAUUCGUCACUGGUGCUAGGGAAGGCCAGAGUAACGCCGAAACGCGUGACGACUGUUCCAAGGUUGGAGCUGGCAGCGGCACUUCUUUCGACAAAAACCAGCCAGUUCCUGAAGCAAGAGCUGAAUAUUCCGAACCUGAGAGAAUACUUCUGGUGUGACAGCAAGGUAGUAUUGGGUUAUAUCGGAAACGAAGACAAACGUUUCCACGUCUUCGUGGCGAAUCGUGUACAGCAAAUUCGCCAGUACACAUCACCUGAUCAGUGGGGAUUCGUAUCCUCUGAAGUCAAUCCAGCAGACUACGCUUCCCGCGGCCAGAGGGCGUCUGACCUGAAGAAGAACGACAUCUGGUGGAAGGGACCCGAGUUCCUUAGGAAACAGGACGAGGAGAGGACGCCUAGUACGUUCGAAGUCCCUGAUGACGACCCAGAGGUAAAGAAGAUGACGACGCUUGCAACUGCUGCUUCCGUUGCACAACAGUUUGCGAGUCUGAGGGAGCGGCUGCUGUACUUCUCUGAUUGGUUCAGAGCUCGUAGAGCUGUUGCCCUCUGCAUCAAGUUUGUGAGACGUCUCCGACAUCGGAUCAAAUCGAAGACGACGAAACCAGAAGGAGAUGAACCCGAGGAAGGCUUGUGUGCUGAAGAUCUGCUGAACGCAGAAAAGUUGAUCCUUCGACAGGUCCAGAAAGAAGACUUCAAUGAGGACGUGGCUGCCCUUUCAUCUGAUGGAGAGCGAUCUGGUGACCCCAGAAGAAAGAGAACCGUUGGCAGCCUGCGAGGACUAGAUCCUUUCGUGGAUCAGGAUGGGCUACUUCGAGUAGGAGGGCGUGCUCGAAAGAGCAGCUUAUCAAUGGAGCUAGCUCACCCGAUCAUACUACCGAAACGAGGACACAUUACAGACCUGAUUGUUCGUGAGUGCCAUGAGCGAACUCACCACAGUGGAAGGGAGAUGACUUUGAAUGAAGUCAGACAAAGAGGUUUCUGGAUCGUGCAGGGAAGAUCGGCAGUUGUGAGGAUCAUCCUCAGCUGUGUGAAGUGCAAGAAACUACGUGGAAAUCCCUGCACUCAGAAGAUGGGAGACCUGCCUAUGGAGCGUUUGGAGGCGACGGAACCUUUUGAAAACAGUGGAGUGGAUGCGUUUGGCCCAUUCUUUGUAAAGGAGCGAAGAAGCGAAGUCAAACGGUGGAUACUGCUCUUCACUUGCCUGAGUUGUCGUGGGAUCCACCUGGAAACUGUCAACAGCAUGACAGCAGACGCCUUUCUGAACGCAUAUAGACGAUUUGUGUGUCGCCGUGGCCCUGUGAGAAAGCUGUUCUGUGAUAACGGCACAAACUUCAUUGGCGGCAAAAGCACAUUGGAAGCAGCCAUGAUGGAGAUGGAGAAGGGGAAGAUCAGGCGAGAGCUGCUGAAGGAUCAAUGUGAUUUCAUUGAGUUUUCCUUCAACGUCCCGUACGCGAGCCACAUGGGCGGCUCAUGGGAAAGGCUCAUCAGGUCGACAAGAACAGCAUUGACUAGUAUCCUGGACGGACACAGUCAUCAUUUGGACGACGAGCUGUUCCGGACGUUUGUCGCGGAAGCCGAGAACGUCGUCAAUAGUCGGCCCAUUUCUGUUUGUAGCAUGACUAACACUGAUAGCGUAGAACCUAUCACUCCAGCACAGCUACUCACAUGUAAAUCCAAGGUCCUUCUUCCUCCACCUGGUGUCUUCUGCCGUCAAGACGUCUACGCCCGACGAAGAUGGCGGCGCGUACAACAUCUGGCGGACGUAUUCUGGUCGCGAUGGCAGCACGAGUACGUCCCCACUACGCAGGAGCGACGGAGAUGGAUCGACAAGGAGCCUAACAUGAAGGUCGACGACCUCGUCGCCGUGGCCGAUGACAGUCUUCCGCGCUCUCAGUGGCAUCUGGGACGUAUAGUGACCACGUACCCGAGUGCGGAUGACUUGGUGCGUAAGGUGCGAGUGCGGAUCGGCGCAGCCGAAUACGACAGGCCAGUGCAUCGUCUAGUCAUGAUCAUGAGGGCGCACGACGGAGAUUCCCGGUCGGGGAGCCUCUGAACGCUUGGUGAGCGGACGACGAACUAGAGGUGCUUGGCGUAGGAUUAGCGGUCCACGUGCCGUGAAAGGGCAGCAGUGAGAAGUGUAAGAUGCAUUGAGACCGUAGUCUGUAAGGACUUGAUCCUUGGAACAACUUCUGUUUCAUGGUCACAUGCCUGUUCGUGUAAUCGACGUAUCUGUUAGUAUUAUCGGAAGAGAAAAUUCUGUUGAAUUUUGGGGAGCCAUGUUCCCGCUGGCAUCAAUUUACUGCAGUGGUUUAGGUGACAACCAGCGUGGCUCGUGUGGGCCUUGUUUUUUGCCGCAUCUGCGCAAGAAAUGUUAUUGUUUUGAACGAAAAGCGAGCCGAGGGACAUGGGACGGAUUUUUUACGUGGCAUUGCGGAUCUGGAUGAAUAUACUGAAUUAAAAGGAAAACUGAUGUCCUAUCCACAUGCUGCUACAG
RNAcentral lists this unclassified non-coding RNA (6945 nucleotides) under Amphibalanus amphitrite. RNAcentral's name for it is "uncharacterized LOC122389341, transcript variant X1". Lineage: Eukaryota; Metazoa; Arthropoda; Thecostraca; Balanomorpha; Balanidae. The record is from RNAcentral.